CAGCAAACAAGAGAUGGCCUCAUCCAGCUACAGGACAAACGCCUGAGCUUCUCUGGGCUCUCAUGAACUGGCUCCCGACAUUUGACUUGACAGUCUGGGCCUCCAUCAGGAAGAGGCAUAAAUAUAGGGGCACAAGGCCGUCCGCUUUGGGAUUGCAGAGAUGCUGAUCUAAGACGUCGAUCCUGAUGAACGGUGCAUCAAUUACUGGAUGAGAUCUGCAGCCUGGCUGGAAAUCCUGAGGAUGCAGAACCCAGAGCCCAGAGGGCACAGGGGACAGAGAGCGGCGUCUGAGUGCUGGGCAAGAGCGGCAUCGCCCAUUUGGGAAAAGAGCCAAAGCUCAGGGGCAAAGAUCCGAUCCCAGGACUGUGAACCUGCCGCCGGUCAAACUCGGGAGAGGGGUUUCAGGCCGAAAUUCCCCUCUGCACUCCAGUUUGAACUGCUUUUCCCCAAGACCGUCCCUUUCCCACACCAUCAUCAUCUGAGCACCGCCAGCGCCAAGUGGCAUUGGAAAUAAAAACUCCCAUGUCCCCGCCCCAGGAGGGCUAGAACGAAAGUCUUACACGUUCUGAAGCUGACAGCGUCUCACUCUGCCUGCAUAAAGCUGAAAAGAAAACAGGUACCAGCUGGUUUGAAUCUCCGCUCAGCGACUCAGAGCCCUGGAAAUCCACCCGUCGAGAGUCUUUGCCGCUGAACAAGAUGUUCUUGGCAUCUGAUUGGA
Ornithorhynchus anatinus (platypus) is the source of this 718-nucleotide long non-coding RNA. RefSeq lists it as uncharacterized. The record is from RefSeq and is a predicted model, not a curated record. The transcript is spliced from 3 exons. NCBI's taxonomy places the organism in Eukaryota, Metazoa, Chordata, Mammalia, Monotremata, Ornithorhynchidae.